UAGUGUUGUAGGGGAAACUGAGCCAACAGUAACCAGGAGCUCAGGAGAAGAAAGGAAAUUUAGUGAUCUCCAGGGGAGUCAUCCUCAAAGUCUGAGGGGGUGAUUGCAUAGAGCUUGUCUUUUCUAUAGAGUGGCAAACACAGGUUGCAGGGGACAGUUGCAAGCUUUUAGCUGAAGGUUGUGGUACAAUGGCUAUCUUGUGGUGAACAUAGUUGUGUGUAGCAAAGUUGUCACCACGUUCCCAGGGCUUUCAGUUGGAUGAAAUCAUAUGAUUUAGCUGAGUUCCGUGGCUGAGAACAGAAUGGCUUUACCUUUGCUUAACAAAGUGUCUACAGUUUGAUCAGGCUUUCUGCUUUCAUGGUAGGUGUUUUCCAUGAUCCUUCCUUUAAGUGGGUUGUUUCAGGGCUGGAUAUUGCCCUUUCCCUUGAGGAUUGGUCAGAUGGUCUCAAUUUUCUAUAUGUACUAUUGCUUAGUUUUGGAUAGUGCCCUGGACAGUUUGCUGGUUGAUUUAGGAGACUCUGGUUCCUAUCCUCAGGCAAGCAAUGGUUUCUCUUGUUCUGUUGUUCUGCAAAGCUGUCAAGGCAGCAGGAUCAGACCGCAUCCUGCAUUUGCUUUGCAGUGUCCAGGUUGUGCUCAGGCCACAGUGCCCCACCCCCAGCCCCGGUGGUCUACUGGAUGCCUGGUGGUUGAUAGCUCAGUCGCUUUCCAAAGCCUUUGCCUUGCUUCUUUGGAACUAUUCUGUGCAAGCCGCUCAGUGUGAGUCUAGACCUUGUGCUGGCUCUUACACAGACUUCAGUGAUUUCUUUCUGCAGCUCUCUCCUCUUUAAAAUGCCAUUUACAUUUUCCUGCCACAAGAAGAGAACUUCCCCAGGGCAGGUCAACCCUCAGGCCAUCAGCAACAGGAAUAGAGUACAAACAUAGUGGCAAUUUUCCUCAUUCUCUUCAUACAGCAGAAGUCACUGCCUGUUCCUUUGUGGGCACAGGUCAUCUGUUGGGGCUUUAGGUCCCUCUGCCUCUCUUGAGACUGCUGGACAACUUUGCAACCGUGUUGCUGUGAACAUGGGAGCGCAGAUGGUUUCACUCCUGGUUUCUGUUGUUUUGCAGAAGAACCCAGAAAGGUGUUUCAUUCCUUGACUUAAAGAAACUGAACAGUAGAAGAAAGAACACUGGGUGGCAGAUGGGGCCACAAUGAAGUACAGGAGGAGGUGUCCCUGCGAGGUCAGCAUCAGCCCCAGAUCACCCUACGGGCCGCUCUUGAAAGAAUGAACUCUAAGACACAAGAAAGGUGAUGUGAAACAUUGUCUGACAAUCAGUGAAAACAGUGGUGUGGAUUCUUGGGUAAGUGCAUUUUGAAGUUUCUAGAGGAAAUAAAAACUACAUUUUCGAUUUCAAUCAGUUAGAAUGCUCUUGAAUUUCUUUAAAAAAUUCAUUUAAAAUGGGGACCAUUUUGCCAUAUUUCUGUCUAUGUACUAGAGUUAGUCAUAUACA
Cavia porcellus (domestic guinea pig) is the source of this 1488-nucleotide long non-coding RNA. RefSeq lists it as uncharacterized. NCBI's taxonomy places the organism in Eukaryota, Metazoa, Chordata, Mammalia, Rodentia, Caviidae. The transcript has 4 exons. The record is from RefSeq and is a predicted model, not a curated record.